Molecule: long non-coding RNA, 1209 nt
Filed under: Bos grunniens (domestic yak)
Lineage: Eukaryota; Metazoa; Chordata; Mammalia; Artiodactyla; Bovidae
Description: lncRNA (ENSBGRG00000009385.1)
Source: RNAcentral
GUCCAGGCAGCCCUGGCUGCCCAGGCUGACCUCACGCCCUCAGGGGGGUCUCCAACCACCUGGGUGGGUGUCUGAGCAGACAUGUGUCUCUGCUCAUUCUGGGAGCAGAAGUUGGAGUGGGCAGAAGCAGCAGCCAUACUGGCCAGGCCCAGCUCAGUAAACUCCAAGCACGGCUGGCUGACGGUCACUGUCACUGCAGAGCUUCCCACUGGAUCUGGCCGAUGAGGGGUCACCCUGUCCACCUCCCCGAGGGAGGUGUCGGACCAUCACCCCCUGCCCGUGAGACCCAGUGCAGUUUCCAGGUGAGCGUGCCCAUGGAGGAGUCAGCCCAACUGGGAAUGAAGAGGAAGCAGGCAAGGCCUCCUGCCCAGACACCACCCAGGACACACCCCAGGGACCAGUCUCAGGCUGCCACGGGGCUUGGCACACCCGGCUCCGACCCAGAGCCCCAAGAACCCCUGCCUCUGAGGCAGCAGGAGGACCUGGAGCCCAGCACAGCAGAGCACAGAGCCCCUUCUGGCUGCCCAGCUCCACAUUGGACCCUUGCCCACAGGAUGAGGAAAGCCCAGCUCCAGAGAAGUUUAACACAAGGAGAGACUGCUGGAGACCCUCCAACCCCUGGUCUAAAUAAGCAUUUCCUUUUAGUUUCACAACCCUGGGAGGAGGUACUGGUUUUGCGUCCAUUUUGCAGUUGAAAUGGUUGAGCCUCAGAUCUUUUUGUGUGAUUUGCCCAGGGUCACUCAGCAGGUUAUCAAGUGAGCAGGGAUUUCAACCCAGAAUUCCUGUCUCAGAGUCCAUGAUUCUGUGCAAGUCUUUCAGCUCCUGGUUUACAUUUAUUUCAAGGUAUUUUAUUCCUUUUGAUGCAUUUGUAAAUAGGACUGUUUUCUUCAUCUCUCUCUCUGAUGGUUCAAAUCCUAUUAUCUUGAUGAAUUUAUUAAUUCUAAUUGUUUUCUCAUGGAGUUUUUAGGGUUUUAUAUAAUAUCAUGUCAUAAUUGAAUAGUGACAGUUUUACUUCUUCUGUUCUAAUGGGGAGUCCUUUUAUUUCCUUUUCUUGCCUAAUUGCUCUGGGUAGGACUUGCAAUACCAUGUUGAAUAAAAUUGGCAAGAGCAAACAUCCUUGUACUAUUCCUGAUCUUUUAGGGAAAACUUUCAACUUUUUACCUCUGAGUCUGAUGUUAGCUGUGGUCUUAUAUAGCCUUUAGUAUGUUC